UGAGUAACACGUGGGUAAUCUACCCUUGGGACUGGGAUAACGUUUGGAAACGAACGCUAAUACCGGAUGAUACAUAUUUAGAUAACUAUUUAUGUUAAAAGGAGCUUCGGCUCUACCUUUGGAUGAGCUUGCGGUGUAUUAGCUAGUUGGUGGGGUAAUGGCCUACCAAGGCAACGAUGCAUAGCCGGACUGAGAGGUCGAACGGCCACACUGGAACUGAGAUACGGUCCAGACUCCUACGGGAGGCAGCAGUUAGGAAUAUUCGUCAAUGGGGGAAACCCUGAACGAGCAAUGCCGCGUGAGUGAUGACAGUCAUUAUGAUUGUAAAACUCUGUUGUAAGGGAAGAAACCUUAUCAUAGGUAAUGAUGAUAAGCUGACGGUACCUUGCCAGAAAGCCCCGGCUAACUACGUGCCAGCAGCCGCGGUAAUACGUAGGGGGCGAGCGUUAUCCGGAUUUAUUGGGCGUAAAGCGUGUGUAGGCGGUUUGUUAAGUAUAUGAUUAA
This 504-nucleotide ribosomal RNA is filed under the name uncultured bacterium. Its description in RNAcentral is "bacterial SSU rRNA". It matches the Rfam family "Bacterial small subunit ribosomal RNA", at positions 107 to 598 of the family's 1533-position model. The record is from RNAcentral.